AUAGGUAAAAUAAAAGAUCUUUUGAGUUGUGAUCAAAUACACAGUGUUCGGUUUCCGUUCGAAAGUAUUGUAGCCCGUAAUGACGAUAUUGAUAUAUAUAAUAAAAAGUAAAUUAUCCUGUAAAAAGAGCAACAAAAAUUAUACUUCAUAGCGUCGGCGGCAUUCAAAUAUGGCGGCAUUGCACUAAAUAUAAAUGUUAUCAACAUUUGAAAUAUUUUUGGAAGGCUGGGAAAAUGUUGUCGAAUACUUAGAUUGUAGUUAUCAUACAAGUGCGAUAAAGACAGCUAACGAGCAUCGGUUACCUGAUGGUAAACACUAACGCCGACCGCAGUCAAUGGACACCAGCCAGUCAAUAACAAUAAUGUAUGUGUUGAAACAAACUACUUAAUACAAAAUUAGCCUUGUCGUUUUUUUCCUAUCUAUAUAUA
Plodia interpunctella (Indianmeal moth) is the source of this 428-nucleotide long non-coding RNA. RefSeq lists it as uncharacterized. Lineage: Eukaryota; Metazoa; Arthropoda; Insecta; Lepidoptera; Pyralidae. The transcript has 3 exons. The record is from RefSeq and is a predicted model, not a curated record.